This 450-nucleotide ribosomal RNA is filed under the name uncultured bacterium. RNAcentral describes it as "partial 16S ribosomal RNA". It matches the Rfam family "Bacterial small subunit ribosomal RNA", at positions 354 to 796 of the family's 1533-position model. The record is from RNAcentral.
GUGGGGAAUCUUCCACAAUGGACGAAAGUCUGAUGGAGCAACGCCGCGUGAGUGAAGAAGGGUUUCGGCUCGUAAAGCUCUGUUGUCGGGGACGAAUGUGCAGUAUUUGAAUAAAGUACUGCAAUGACGGUACCUGACGAGGAAGCCACGGCUAACUACGUGCCAGCAGCCGCGGUAAUACGUAGGUGGCAAGCGUUGUCCGGAAUUAUUGGGCGUAAAGGGAGCGCAGGCGGGAAGGUAAGUCGGUCUUAAAAGUGCGGGGCUCAACCCCGUGAUGGGAUCGAAACUAUCUUUCUUGAGUGCAGGAGAGGAAAGUGGAAUUCCUAGUGUAGCGGUGAAAUGCGUAGAUAUUAGGAGGAACACCAGUGGCGAAGGCGACUUUCUGGACGAAAACUGACGCUGAGGCGCGAAAGCCAGGGGAGCGAACGGGAUUAGAUACCCGGGUAGUCC